Molecule: long non-coding RNA, 764 nt
Organism: Monodelphis domestica (gray short-tailed opossum)
Lineage: Eukaryota; Metazoa; Chordata; Mammalia; Didelphimorphia; Didelphidae
Source: RefSeq, a predicted model, not a curated record
AAAAUAGACUCGAACUCUGGACUUCAAUCCCCACAAGCCUUUGCUCCACUUCCCCAGAAUGCUUUGUCAUCUCACCUGGGCUGAGAUCGAGAAGGGAUUUAAGCUGAUUGCAAAGGCUUUUGCACUCUUUUGGACUUCCGUUUUGGGGCAGAGGUGGCUCUUUCCAUAAUGUAGAAUUUUAGGUAAAGAAGAUGCUACCUCUCUGAAUCCAGAACUGAACUGUUGGAGAAGAUACCAUGAAGAAGCCUCAAAACCAGACAGCUGCACAAAAAUUGAACUUUGGGUGUGGUUGAUUGAACAUUUAUUUGUAUGUAUACUUUCAUGCCAAAGGGGAUUGCCCCCUAACUGGCUUUUUGUCAAUGUGUUCAGCAAUUGUUGGUUUUGUUUUUUUUUUCUCUUAUCCUCAAAUUACUGUAAUGUUUAAGUUGAUUAUGUUCUCAUGAUCCUUUUUGGGGAAACUUCGCCCCUCAACAACGAUCAAAAGGAGGAAUGUAAAAAUAAGACUCGAACUCUGGACUUCAAUCCCCACAAGCCUUUGCUCCACUUCCCCAGAAUGCUUUGUCAUCUCACCUGGGCCGAGAUCGAGAAGGGAUUUAAGCUGAUUUCAAAGGCUUUUGCGCUCUUUUGGACUUCCGUUUUGGGGCAGAGGUGGCUCUUUCCAUAAUGUAGGUGAGGUCUUGUCUAGGCCUCUGGCCUAGGCAUGUGUUUUUUCUUACUUGUGUAUUCUUAAAUUCUCAAGCUUUAAUAAACCUCAUAAAAUAUAA